This is a long non-coding RNA of Drosophila sulfurigaster albostrigata, 515 nucleotides long. RefSeq lists it as uncharacterized. The record is from RefSeq and is a predicted model, not a curated record. Lineage: Eukaryota; Metazoa; Arthropoda; Insecta; Diptera; Drosophilidae. The transcript is spliced from 3 exons.
GCUGCAAGGUCAGCUGCAUCAGAGAUGAUUAGGAAAGCUGUAACAUCAUCUGUUUUGCAUUUCCUGUAACCUAGAUGGAAUGCACGUUAAGUGGCUCACGUUCUUUUCGUUCGAAACCGUCGUAGAGUGCAGACGCGCAUAUAAUCACGUUCCGGGGGAAAAGUUUUUUUUGGUGCGGACAAAGGCGGCAAGUGCUGAGUCGAGUUGGUUAUUCAAAAAAUAAAAAAAAAAAAUCCUUUGCGAAACGACGAGUGCGUGCGGGAAAAAAAGAGCGAAAAGAGACAGCCUAAUUGGAGUCCCUUUGCUGGCUGCUGAACGCCGGCGAAACUAUUUUUUUCAAUUUUUUUUCUGUGUUGAUCCCACUGGAAGUUGGCAGGCAGUUCGUUGGCGGCCCACACCAAGUACCUCAGGAGUCCUCCAUGCGGAGGCGAGGAGGUUAGGAUCGCCCCGAGUCCCCUUUAGUAAAUUGUGAGAAAAAACAAGAUGGCCGCUUCGUUUUCUACCUAACCUAAAAG